UACGGAAGGCAGCAGUGGGGAAUAUUGCACAAUGGGCGCAAGCCUGAUGCAGCCAUGCCGCGUGUAUGAAAAAGGCCUUCGGGUUGUAAAGUACUUUCAGCCGUGAGGAAGGUGUUAAGGUUAAUAACCUUAGCAAUUGACGUUAGCGACAGAAGAAGCACCGGCUAACUCCGUGCCAGCAGCCGCGGUAAUACGGAGGGUGCGAGCGUUAAUCGGAAUUACUGGGCGUAAAGGGCACGCAGGCGGUUAAUUAAGUUGGAUGUGAAAUCCCCGGGCUUAACCUGGGAAUGGCAUUCAAGACUGGUUAGCUAGAGUCUUGUAGAGGGGGUAGAAUUCCAUGUGUAGCGGUGAAAUGCGUAGAGAUGUGGAGGAAUACCGGUGGCGAAGGCGGCCCCUGGACAAAGACUGACGCUCAUGUGCGAAAGCGUGGGGAGCAAACAGGGAUUAGAUACC
Molecule: ribosomal RNA, 453 nt
Filed under: uncultured bacterium
Lineage: Bacteria
Description: bacterial SSU rRNA
Rfam family: Bacterial small subunit ribosomal RNA
Source: RNAcentral